CCCCUGGAAAACAAUUUGGCAAUUGAGUUAUCUCAACUUAAUCCUCUUCCUUCUCAGCAACCAGGAAGAUCAAUUCAUGCAAACAGAAUUGGCUGUUGCAAUCUGUUCCAGCCCAUUUCUUAUCUUCUCUGUUUGCAGUUAGACAGUAUAAGUAGCAGCAGCCAUAGGGCGAAUGAUCAGGGCCCUUGGCUUUGCACACCACCAGCCAUCCAAAUAUCAUGGGGAAGGGAUGGAUCCGGGAGAUACCCAGCCUCGCCCUGCUGCUGCUGGUGAUUCUUCUUCCUCGGACAUCCUUGGCUAAUUACACCGAACCGCAAUACUUGAUUCUGGUGCCCUCUGUGAUCCACACGCAGACCUCUGAGAAGGUUUGUGUCCAGAUGCUCCAUUUCAAUGAGACCUUGACUUUGAGCAUCACUAUGGAAUUUGAGGACAAGAAAAUAAGCCUGACUGAAGUAAACAUGAUGGCUGAGAAGGACAUCUUCCAAUGUAUUUCCUUCCAGCUUCCCAAGUUGAAUCAUUCCUCAAGCUGUCCCUCAAGAUUUCCCAGCCCUACAGAUUGUCCCAAGGUCCUUCUCCAGGUGGCACUGAAGGGAAAAAAGUUGAACGUGACACAACAAGAACUGGUCAUGGUCAGAAACCCAAGUGACCUACUUUUUGUUCAGACAGACAAGCCCAUCUACAAGGCAGGACAGGAAGUGAAGAUUCGCAUCGUUUGUCUGCAUGAAGACUUUCGCCCUGCAAAUAAGAAGAUUCCUUUAAUUUACAUCCAGGACCCCAGGAAGAAUCGUCUGUUCCAGUGGAACGAUGUUAAGCUUAACAUGGGCCUCACCCAGCUGUCUUUCCUUCUGUCUUCUGAGCCCGCCUUAGGCACCUACAAAUUGGUGAUAGAAAAAUCUUCCAGGAAGAUUGCCGGGCACACAUUUCAUGUGGAAGAAUAUGUAUUACCCAAGUUUAAAGUUUCGAUGACGGGACCGAAGCAAAUCUCCAUUUGGACUGGAAAAUUUGAAAUAACCUUUUGUGGGAAGUACACCUAUGGGAAACCUGUCCCUGGCCUAGUGAAAAUGGCUGUCUGCCGUCGUUAUAUGCAACAUAAUCCAUGUCCAGAGACAGAGCUGAAUCUGUGUGAAGAGUACAGUGGAGAGGCGAAUGGACAAGGGUGUUUCUCUCAGGUGGUAGAAACCAAGAUGUUUCAUCUGAAGCAAAAUGGUUUGGAAAUGCAUAUUAAGGCAGAAGGCAAGAUCAUCGAAGAAGGCACAGGGGUGGAAAUGACAGAGGUGAGCACCAUAAGCAUCACUUCGACAGCCAGCAAACUGAACUUUGAAAAUGCAGAGCCUUAUUAUAAGCCUGGGAUCCCCCUUUUCCUGCAGAUGAAACUGGUGGAUGGUAUGGAUGUGCCGAUGGCUAACAAGACCAUUCAGAUUACAGGACCUUCAGUGAAAUAUACAGCCAGGCACACAACUAAUGAGGAAGGACGAAUACAGUUUUCCAUAGAUACAUCUAAUUUCACAGAGGACUCCAUCAAUUUUCAGGGAGUUUACAAAGAAAAUGAAUGGUGUCACAAUUCAGUCUCCAUUUAUCACCGACAUGCCUCGCACUUAGUGUACCGAUUUUACUCACCAAGUCAAAGUUACCUCCACAUUGAGCCUCUGCCAAAAACAUUGAGCUGUGGUGACACAGAGCAGAUUCGAGUGCAUUUCAUCUUGGAUCCAAAUGCAGUGAAGAAGGAAAUUAUCUUUCAUUAUUUGGUGAUGGCAAAGGGAGACAUCAUACGAGCAGGGACACACACACAGCCGAUGGAGGGAAAAGAACCGAAAGGGGACUUCCUUUUGAAUCUCUCGGUGGAUGUCGACACGGCUCCCGUGACCCGCUUGCUCCUCUACACCAUUUUGCCCAAUGGAGAACUUGUUGCUCACUCCAGAGACUUCACUGUAGAAAAGUGCUUCUCCAACAAGGCCAGACUCUGGUUCUCUGAUCAAGAAGGCCUGCCUGGGCAGAAAACCCAACUCCAUCUUGCUGCUUCCUCUGGCUCCCUCUGUGCUUUCCAUGCUAUUGACCAGAGUGUCUUUCUCUUGAAACCCGAAGCCCAGCUCUCCCCUGAGAAGAUCUAUAACCUGCUCCCAGGCUCUUUAUAUGACACACACUUUGCAAGAGAAUGGGAUAGAAGGCAAUGCAUCAAAAUGAAAAACAUUGAAGUGGGUGGUAUCCAUUAUCGCCCUGUUCCUUUUUCUGAUGGGGAAGCUGAUGUUUUCAAAAUUCUUAAGGACUUGGGUUUAAAAGUUUUUACUAGCACUAAACUACGCAAGCCGAAUAUCUGUUGGGUUACCCCAUUUUUUCCACGCUUCUCCGAUUUUGCCCCUGUACCAUUGGCAGGUGCCAUAGGACCGAUGGCUUCUCCAAUUGCUUACCGCUCAUCUAGUUCUCCCAUGAUCAGGACCUCUGCCACUGAAAUUACGCCUGUUGAGACUAUCAGAUUGGAGUUCCCUGAAACCUGGCUAUGGGAUUUGGUGAUAAUAGAGGAUUCUAAAAACGUGUCUCUUCCUGUCACCAUCCCGGACACCAUCACCGAAUGGAAAGCUGGAGCUUUCUGUCUUUCAGCAGACACCGGCUUUGGCCUGGCCCAGCCCACUUCUCUGAAGGCCUUUCAGCCAUUCUUCAUUGACCUCACCUUGCCCUAUUCCGUGGUGCGAGGAGAAGCCUUCCCACUCAAGGCUACAGUCUUCUCCUACCAGACUCACUGCAUCCAGGUCACAAUAUCUCUAGCUCCUUCUGCUGACUUUGAGGCAACCGCUAUGGACAAACAGCAAGAAUCUUACUGCAUUUGUGCAAAUGGGAGGAGAACGGUAUCCUGGAUGGUGACCCCCAAAUCACUUGGCAAAGUGAAUUUCACAGCCAGUGCUGAGGCCGUGAGCUCAGAUCAGCUCUGUGGGAAUGAAAUAGUGGAGGUGCCCAGCAUGCAGCGAAAAGAUGUUGUGAUCAAAACACUUUUAGUUGAGCCUGAAGGGAUUGAGAAAGAGGUAGUCUUCAAUUCACUUCUCUGUUCUGAUGGAGAUGUACAGUCAGAACCAAUAUCUUUGAGGGUGCCAGAAAAUGUUGUGGAAGGCUCUGCCAGGGCGACCUUUUGUGUACUUGGAGACAUUCUUGGGGGAGCGAUACAGAACCUCCAUCAGCUUCUCAAGAUGCCUUAUGGCUGUGGGGAGCAGAACAUGGCCCUCUUUGCCCCCAAUAUCUACAUCCUGAACUACCUCAAUAAGACUGGACAACUGACCGAGGAGAUCAAAUCCAAGGCCAUCGGAUACUUACAGGCAGGCUAUCAAAGGCAACUGAACUACAAACAUUCUGAUGGUUCCUACAGCACCUUUGGAGAAAGGAGCUCAAAAGAAGGAAAUACCUGGUUGACAGCUUUUGUGCUGAAGAGUUUCACUCAGGCGGCGCCCUACAUCCCCGUGCAACAAAAUUAUAUCACUGAUGCUCAGACUUCACUGGCGCUCAGGCAGUUGGAAGAUGGUUCCUUCCUAAAAAGAGGGUCUCUGCUGAACAACGCACUAAAGGGUGGGGUUGAUGAUGCGAUUUCUCUUUCGGCCUACAUCACCAUAACUUUGCUGGAAAUGCCUCUGCCUCGCACACACCUUUUGGUACGAAACGCCUUGCAUUUCCUGGAGACGGCAUCUCAAGCGGAAGAGAUCCACAUUUAUUCCCGGGCUCUGAUGGCGUAUGCCUUUACUCUGGCGGGGAAUGAGGAGAGGAGGCAAGCGAUGUUGGAGUCCCUUCAAAAACUAGCUGUGAAGGAAGAGGAUGGCUCCAUCCACUGGGAGAGACCUGAGAAGCAGAAGAAGACCCCCGAUCUUCCAUAUUACCACCCCCUUGCUCCCUCUGCUGAGGUAGAGAUGACCGCCUACGUUCUCCUUUCUUACGUGGCCAAAGAACCAUUCCCGUCCCAGGAAGAAUUAACAACAGCAACUGCCAUUGUCAAAUGGUUGACCAACCAACAGAAUCCCAAUGGAGGAUUCUCUUCAACACAGGAUACGGUGGUGGCUCUCCAGGCCCUCUGCCAGUACAAGACAAUUACUUAUUCCAAGGAUGGAGUUGAUGCCAGAGUGACCUUGAGUUCUGGAGAUAUUGCCCUGACCAAAUUCCAUGUUGACAGCACCAACUCUCUGCUGCUCCAGUGCCAGGAUCUGCCUCAGGUGCCAGGGAACUACAUGGCUGAGAUGACCGGUUGCAUCUUUAUGCAAACCAGCUUGAGGUAUAACAUCCAUCCACCCCAGGAGGAGGCGCCAUUCAAGUUGCUUGUGCAGACAAGUCCUCAGAAUUGCACUGGACCUAAAGCGCACCAGACCUUUGACAUUGCUAUCAGCGUCAGUUACACCGGCCAACGUGUGGUUUCCAACAUGGCAAUUGUCCAGAUUAAGAUGCUAUCCGGAUACAUCCCAGUGAAAUCAACCGUAAAGUUGCUGGAAGAACGUCAUUUCGUCCAGCGGGCUGAAAUUUCAGCCACCCAGGUCCUCCUGUAUUUGGAACAGGUCAGCAGUCUAAGCCAGAGUUAUUCCUUCAAGGUCGAGCUUGAGACUCCGGUCCAGGGCCUGAAACCUGCCCCGGUGAAAGCCUAUGAUUAUUAUGAAACCGAUGACUAUGCCAUCUCGGAGUACAUCGCCCCCUGCAGCACAGGUCACCCAGUGAUGCCUUCAUCACCACUGUCACCGAGUCCCUUGCUGCUAAUUGUCCUCUUGUCUUACCUUCCACCUUUCCCAACAUCAAAGACUUUUCCAGGAAACUAAGUCUUCACAAAAUGUCUCAAAAGUAGGAUAAUUUCAUGGUCAAAGAGUAGCUCUCAGAUGAAGAGGUCAAAAAAAUCCGUUAAGCAAGAAAAUCUCCAGCCAAGAGAAACAAGGAAGAAUCUAUCAAGUUUGCUCUCCCCCUUUUUUUCUGUACAAAAACCCACUAAAUGUAUGUGCCCAACUUACUGUCAACUUCUGAAACGAACCUGGCUGAAGCCAUCUUUGUCAAUCUAAGUUGCCACAUAGGUUUGGGGGGAAGAAGAGAAGGAACACAAAAGUAUUGCUAGACAAAACACGGAGCGGUCCCUUGGGAACCAAGGUCAUUCCCAUAGGUGCAGGAAGGAGGAGUGGAGAUGUGUCCCAGAGCCCACCAAUUGCUUUCACUGGGUAGCAUAAUCAAUAACAUAAUGCAGUGGAGGGAAAUGUUACAUUUAAUUACACUGAAUCCCUAAGGGAAAGUUUAGAGUUGGUUUCACUUUUGAUCAUACCAACAUUAUGUAUCCAAUAAACAUGUGCUUUGAGGAAAC
Crotalus tigris (Tiger rattlesnake) is the source of this 5302-nucleotide RNA transcript. It is a transcript of the gene named alpha-2-macroglobulin-like, with no coding region annotated. The transcript is spliced from 37 exons. Lineage: Eukaryota; Metazoa; Chordata; Lepidosauria; Squamata; Viperidae. The record is from RefSeq and is a predicted model, not a curated record.